GGUCCCAUAGCUCAGCUGGUUAGAGCAUUUGACUCAUAAUCAAAGGGUCCUUGGUUCGAGCCCAAGUGGGACCACCG
Molecule: transfer RNA, 77 nt
Filed under: Aquimarina sp. BL5
Lineage: Bacteria; Pseudomonadati; Bacteroidota; Flavobacteriia; Flavobacteriales; Flavobacteriaceae
Description: tRNA-Met
Rfam family: tRNA
About the family: Transfer RNA (tRNA) molecules are approximately 80 nucleotides in length. Their secondary structure includes four short double-helical elements and three loops (D, anti-codon, and T loops).
Source: RNAcentral